NGGUGGCGGCCAUAGCGGCGGGGCAAUUCCUGUACCCAUCCCGAACACAGAAGAUAAGCCCGCCUGCGUUCUAUACUGUACUAAAGUAUGAGAGUCUUUGGGAAAUAUGGAACGCUGCCACCAAC
Molecule: ribosomal RNA, 125 nt
Filed under: Methanolobus tindarius
Lineage: Archaea; Methanobacteriati; Methanobacteriota; Methanomicrobia; Methanosarcinales; Methanosarcinaceae
Source: RNAcentral